Acipenser ruthenus (sterlet) is the source of this 2391-nucleotide long non-coding RNA. RefSeq lists it as uncharacterized. NCBI's taxonomy places the organism in Eukaryota, Metazoa, Chordata, Actinopteri, Acipenseriformes, Acipenseridae. The transcript is spliced from 3 exons. The record is from RefSeq and is a predicted model, not a curated record.
UACGGUGAGGUGUGGAGCAGUUCACUGCUUAUAAACUGCACCGUGGGCACAGCACUCUGCCUUUUACCGAGCGUUUCUACUGAGCACUGGAAAUGAUGUUGAGCUUAUUAAGUUGUUUUAUACACACACGUAUAACUGACUUAAUUGUGUUAGGAGAUAGUAAUGGAAAUGCUUUGCACACAAGCACUUUCUGAUCUUUUGGAAUGAUUCCCUGAGGCGAAUCAAUGGUGCUUGCGUUUUCUGUCUGUUGAUACAGCUGAAGAUGUAUCUGAGCUCUACGGUGAUCUCUUUUGCUGGAGAACCACGAGGCCCUCAGUUUACCAAGUCAUCGAAAAGACGGCAUUUCCAGCAGCAGAGUGGAAUUCAGAGCAAAGAGCGCUCCCUGCUGCCCCAACAUCACAUUACACCCUGAAGGAUAAGUGACAGGAACGGGAGUGACGGGAUUUAAAAAAAAAAAAAAAUAGGGUUCCCACUGCACAUCCUCCUCUUCUUUUUUAGGGGUAAUCCUGGGAUGACUAUGGCUGCAAUGUGGCUGAUUGUAACACUCUUUUUAUUGUUUUCCAGGACCCCCUUGUAAACGAGGCCUCGGUCUCAGGGAGUAAAGCUCAUGGUGGAAUAAAUACAUCAAUUCUAAUACUCAGCCUCAAAAACUCAACUGUGUUUGAUCAUCAAUGGCAAUCCCAACAUCUAUUUAAUACUGACACAGCGACUGAGGAGGUUAUUUUAAUGAAUGAUAUAAAAAUAACAAAGUCAAAUGGCCAUAUAUACACUUACUUUUGUAUUUGACAACCAAGCACAGUUUUUUCAUUUUUUUUUUAGAAUGACAUUGUUCCUGAUGAAUAGAAUUCACAUUGUUCCUCUGUGUUAUUAAUGGCGUUAGGGUGUGUAUUAUUCUUCUGAGAUUUAAUUAACUACAGACAGCACCCUUUCUAUGGAGCUACCUGCCAAAGACACAUCAUAUUAAAUCACUACAUUCCUUUGGCUUGGCGUUCCGGUGGGAAAUAACCCUCUCAAUACAGUUUGGACUUGCUUUUUAAGUGCUUUAAUUAAGGAUAUUUCCCCCACCAAUAUGCACAUCUCCUCAUUAAAGCAAGUAUUUGCAUGUUCCCCAUGUAGAAAUUGGCUCCUGCAAUUCGUGUAUCUGUUUUGCAGGGAUAGUCAAAUAUCACAAUGGCCUGUUGCAUUCAGGGAGGGGAGUUCAGCUAUAAAGUAGGUUGCAGCCAGACCAUUAGAGUGAAAUUGACAUACAGCAUGUGAUUGGUGUCUAACAACAGUUUUCUGAAUCCUGCAUCAGGGAUGGAAAUAAGACUCCAAUUGCAUUGCAGUUUCACCCGUUGCAGGCUUUACUACGAGCUUGAUAACUAUAGAUAACAAGCUUAGGUGCGUUUUAUUAAACUCACAGUACAACCAGGAAUGGAUCAAACUGCUGUGCAACGGGAGUCUUAUUUCCAUCCCUGUGCAUCAAACUUACCAUACCCCAUGCACUUAAAAAGAGGGUUCCAGAGAUGAGGGGGUUAAUGGAAGGCUGUGGCUAUGCAUGUGAAGCAGGCUGACAGCCCUCAAGUGCUUCUGUGUGAAUCAGAGAGGGCUUCAUUGUUUAGGGUGUGUCUGUGGGACUCUUAUGUUUGAAAUCGAGAUUUGAUAUAUGGGCUGUCAGAAGCCUUGUGUCUGCAGUUUGCUUCCAUCCCUGGGCUGCUUAUCACACUGCAGUUUUCAGAACACUGCAUCUAUUUUAAGACACCCCUUCAGUUAGCACUUUUCGCUGUGCUAUUGGAGCAAAUUCGUCUAUUAGAAUGCUUGUUCUGUAUAAGGUCAUAUUUUUGUGGGAUCACAUUGACCAGAUUUAAUGUUAGGACCCCACAGCCCACGCAUUUAAUGUUUGACUGAACAAUGAAUAGCUAAACUGUGUUGAAAUGCGUGUCUGUUUAACUGUGUAUAUAUUUGACGGCAGAUACUGCAGCGCACCCUCCCCUGUCAAAGACAUCAGAAGAGGAGACGCUGGUUUGAACUACUACUGCCUUCCUUGAGUUUGCGGAAGUUUAUGCAGAUGUGCAGUCGCACUUUGUUCAUAGAAAUAAAACUAAGGACGCUUGCUCGCACCGAUGCAAGUACUGCAGUGAUGGCUCUCUGUAGAAAGAACAUUGGAUCGGAUAUGAAUUGUGUAACCUGACGGUAAAUAUUACGCAGCGAAUAGACAAAUGUAUAUGAGUGUUUAAAAUAAUACGGACUAUUGUACAUGCACUGAUGUAGCGAUGUAACACGCGGUUCCAGAGUAUGUUAAUAUUGUUAUUAUUAAUAAACAUACAUGCCAUCAGUCCCUAUGUGUAUGAAUAAAGGAUGUAUUAAUAUUGUAUUACUAUGGUUCACUGUGUAAUUCUCUCUCUCUCUCUC